GGGGUCGACUGGUUUUGACAGCGAGAUUAAUUGAACGGUAAGCACGUCGUGUAAUGAUUUUGAGACACGUAAAAGGCUAAAUCGAACUUUAAACGGCGAGAAUAACUACGCUUUAGCUGCUUAAUCUGAAUAAAGUAAGAUAGGCCUAGUCCCGCAAGGCGGGAAAGCUAAAUGUCUCAGGAAAGCCUUGGUUAACGGCGUUCUUUUUUGAGGCAUCGUAAAAGUUAACAUAGAUUGGGUAGUGCUUUGAUGCCCUUUCGAAAUUUAAAAAGCUAAGUGGUAACUAGGUUGUCUUUAACCAGGUUGCCAUCGAAAACCCAAGAAAAGAAUACACGUGUAGAAAGCCCUUUGGUUACUUGUUUGGACCCGAGUUCGAAUCUCGGCGACUCCACAG
RNAcentral lists this transfer-messenger RNA (394 nucleotides) under Confluentibacter sp. It matches the Rfam family "transfer-messenger RNA". Rfam says of the family: Bacterial tmRNA, also known as 10Sa RNA or SsrA, is named for its dual tRNA and mRNA-like properties. The record is from RNAcentral. RNAcentral also lists the same sequence under 1 other name. Lineage: Bacteria; Pseudomonadati; Bacteroidota; Flavobacteriia; Flavobacteriales; Flavobacteriaceae.